AUUGAACGCUGGCGGAAUGCUUUACACAUGCAAGUCGAGCGGCAGCGCGGGGCAACCUGGCGGCGAGCGGCGAACGGGUGAGUAACAUAUCGGAACGUACCCUGUCGUGGGGGAUAACACAGCGAAAGUUGUGCUAAUACCGCAUACGACCUGAGGGUGAAAGCGGGGGAUCGCAAGACCUCGCGCGAUAGGAGCGGCCGAUAUCGGAUUAGCUAGUUGGUGAGGUAAAGGCUCACCAAGGCGACGAUCCGUAGCGGGUCUGAGAGGACGACCCGCCACACGGGAACUGCGACACGGGCCAGACUCCUACGGGAGGCAGCAGUGGGGAAUUUUGGACAAUGGGGGCAACCCUGAUCCAGCCAUUCCGGGUGAGUGAAGAAGGCCUUCGGGUUGUAAAGCUCUUUCGGCAGGAACGAAACGGUCGUCUCUAACAUAGAUGGCUAAUGACGGUACCUGAAGAAGAAGCACCGGCUAACUACGUGCCAGCCGCCGCGGUAA
This 498-nucleotide ribosomal RNA is filed under the name uncultured bacterium. RNAcentral describes it as "partial 16S ribosomal RNA". It matches the Rfam family "Bacterial small subunit ribosomal RNA", at positions 29 to 523 of the family's 1533-position model. The record is from RNAcentral.